AGAACCCCAGCUGCAAGUGAGACUGGAAAAAUGGCUCUCAGAGUUCCCGCCUCUGCAGUAGAGGAAGACACUCCAGAAGGAGUUGAGAAUGGGUGCUGAGUGCCUCUUCAGGAUGUCUGUCACACCUCAGGAAACCUGCCAGGAAUACCAAAGGGAGUGAAAAAUCCAAGGAAUACUUGUCAUUGAAAUUAGGGCCCACCUGGAUAAUCCAUGAUGAUCUCAUCUCAAGAUCCUUAACUUAAUGACAUCUGCAGAGACUGGUUUAUCAAAUAAGGGACUGUGGCUAUAUCGCUGACCUCAAGAAAACCUGCGGACAAAAUCUGCUAAAGAAGUAUCAGCAUCUAUUUCAAAAGUUAGCCAUUAUUUUAAGAAGACUGUGCUGGAAGACGGGUAUUUAACACAAACAGAUGCAAAAGAUACGGGGUUUCACCGUGUUGACCAGACUGAUUUUGAACUUCUGGGCUCAAUCAGUCCACCUGCCUCGGCCUCCCAAAGUGCUGAGAUUAUAGGUGUGAGCCCCUGCGCCUGGCCAGGGAUGCCGUUCUUCACUCUCCACACUCCAACCAGCAAUGAAGGAGAUCUGAGGUCUCGGCAUCCUCAUUCACACCUGGGUGGAAACAAAGUUAAACAGAUUUCUCUACGGCAGCAGGACUCAGAGCUUUUUUGAAUUGUCUGACGGGCAGAUUGCUGGGAAUUCUUUUUCUAUGGUCAAGUAAAGAUUACAAGGCUAGAAUUCCAGCGAAGCUAUUUUGGCAAAUACUGACCUACAUGAUUGAAGGGGUCCAGAAUAUGCCACCCCAAAAUAUGCCACUUUGACAUACGGCUUAUUUUGGGCUGCAAGCGAUUGAAAAUGAGCAGAUGCAGGAUGAAUCCUCUGCUCUCUUUUUCUACCUGAAACCAGGGCGUAACAUUCCCUUUGUGGAAGGUGUUCCUCGACUCCCAUAGCAGGAAGUGUAGAGCAACUCUUACCAUCAAAGAUGGACAGUCAGCAUUGAGAUGAGUCUGCAUAAACAAACUUUUUUUUUUAAAGUUUGUUCCAUUAAUCUCCCCCAUGUAUUUGCUAGUCACUUUCCCACAAUUUAUCAUCCCUUUCCUUUGUUAAAAUGAUAUAUACGUCCCUGAGCCUAAUCACUUUGCAUUUCACUACUUUUCUGUGAACUCCUAUGCACGUAAAAAUAUAAAUACAUUUGUAUUCC
Molecule: long non-coding RNA, 1196 nt
Organism: Homo sapiens (human)
Lineage: Eukaryota; Metazoa; Chordata; Mammalia; Primates; Hominidae
Product: long intergenic non-protein coding RNA 2362
Source: Ensembl